This 477-nucleotide small RNA is filed under the name Pan troglodytes (chimpanzee). RNAcentral describes it as "processed transcript". Lineage: Eukaryota; Metazoa; Chordata; Mammalia; Primates; Hominidae. The record is from RNAcentral.
AUUUCCCGCUGGAGCUCACUCAGAAAGCAGCCAGGAUUGUGCUCAUGGACGAUGCCAUGGACUGCUUGAUGUCUUUUUCAGAUUUCCUCUUUGCCUUCCAGAUCCAGUUUUACUACUCAGGCACAGCACUGACUUUAAUCUUGACAACAGCCUUGAGAGAGAGUCCUUUCAGAGACAAGCUCACAGAAGUAGUAGCCAGUCAUGCAGCUCAUAAGUGGUGGAGACCAGACCUGAAGGCUGACUCCAAAGCCAGCGUUCCCAACCUCGCUGCUAUUUUACUGCCUUCAAGGGUCUCUCCCUUGGCAACUGAUCGUGCGUUUGGGUGCACAUUCUCCUCCACCCCACAGCUUUAAAAAAGCAUACACCAGUCCUUUGUCACACUCCCACUCUGCUCCCCAAUUCACCCAGCUGCACCCUUAAGUCUCUCUGGAAUCAGAUGGAAUAAAUAUAGACAAAUAAAUAUAAAUAUACACCAGC